GAUAGUAGAGGAUAGGAAAGGCAGCAGAAUACAACAGACACUAGUAUGGCAAUAUGUAAAUCAAUGGAUGUGUAACUGAUGUGAUUCUGCAAUCUGUAUACGGGGUAAAAACGGGAGUUCAUAACCCACUUGAAUCAAAGUGUGAAAUAUGAUAUAUCAAGAACUAUGUAAUGUUUUGAACAACCAAUAAUAAAAAUUAAAAAAAGAAACACUUCUCAAAUAUAUGAAAAAAGUCCAAAUCAUUAGCAAUUAGGGAAAUGAAAAUCAAAACUACAGAGAUUUCAUCUCACACUAGUUAGGAUGGCUUUCAUCAAGAGUACAAAUAAUAAUAAAUGCUGGAGAGCAUGUGGAGAAAAAGGAACACUUUUACACUGUUGGUGAGACUGUAAAUUAGUACAACCUCUAUAGAAAUCAGUAUGGAGUUUCCUCAAAAGACUAGGCAUGAAACAUGUGAACCAGCUAUACCACUCCUUGACAUUUAUCCUAAAGAAUUAAAGUUAUCAUACUACAGUGACACAUGUAUACCUAUUUACAGCAGCACAGUUCACAAUAUCCAAACUAUUAAGCCAGUCCAAGGUGCCCUUUAAUGGACGGAUGAAUAGAGAAAAUGUGGUAUACAUAUAUAUGGAGUUUUAUUUAAUCAUAAAGAAAAGUAAAAUGAUGUUAUUUUCAGAAAAACAGAUGGAAAUAGAGACCAUUAUGUGAAGCAGAAAAAGUCAAACUCAGAAGGUCAAGGGACAUGUUUUCUCUCAUUUGCAGAAGCUAGAGAGGAAAAAGAAAAAGAAAGGUAGGGGUGAAUCUCAUGGAAAUCAAGGAGAGAUCAGUAGAAUAAAGGGAGCAAGGGGUGGGAAAUAGAAUAUGGGAAAGAUUGGGGGGGGGGUGAUAUUUACCAAAUUAUAUUGUUACAUGUGUACAUCUAUGAAUAUAUAACAAGACCCAUCAUCAUGUACAACUAUAAUGAACCAAUUUCAAAAAAAGUGGAAAAAAAGACCCAACUAUAUGCUGUCUAUGAGAAACUCAGUUUAUUGACAGAGAAAAAUAUUAAAAGCAUUGACUAAAAGUGAAGUGUUAGAAAAUGAUAUCACACAGAUGUAAAUCAAAAGCCAGGGGAGAAGGUAUGCUCAUAUCAGAUAAAGCAGACAUUAAAUUUAAAAAUUAUAAUAAGGCAUGCACUAGGUCAUUACACAUUAACAAAAAUAUCAAUUUAUCAGGAAGAUAUAAGGAUUAUAAACAUUUAUGAACCCAACAUAGGGCCACCCAAAUAUUCAAAACAAAUAUUAGAUCUAAAGACCAAUAGAAAUUAAAAGGAAAAUUAAAAUUUUCUAGAAACAAAUAAAAAUGAUAAUUUGACAUACCCAAAUUUGAAAUAAAGCCAAAGCAGUACUGAGGGAGAAGUUCAUAGCAAUAAUACAUACAUAAAAAUAGAUCUCAAACAACCUGUUGCUGUACCACAAAAACUUAGAAAAACAAGAACAAAUCAAAC
RNAcentral lists this long non-coding RNA (1483 nucleotides) under Marmota monax (woodchuck). Lineage: Eukaryota; Metazoa; Chordata; Mammalia; Rodentia; Sciuridae. The record is from RNAcentral.